Molecule: ribosomal RNA, 650 nt
Filed under: Pseudomonas azotoformans
Lineage: Bacteria; Pseudomonadati; Pseudomonadota; Gammaproteobacteria; Pseudomonadales; Pseudomonadaceae
Description: bacterial SSU rRNA
Source: RNAcentral
GUAAUGCCUAGGAAUCUGCCUGGUAGUGGGGGAUAACGUUCGGAAACGGACGCUAAUACCGCAUACGUCCUACGGGAGAAAGCAGGGGACCUUCGGGCCUUGCGCUAUCAGAUGAGCCUAGGUCGGAUUAGCUAGUUGGUGGGGUAAUGGCUCACCAAGGCGACGAUCCGUAACUGGUCUGAGAGGAUGAUCAGUCACACUGGAACUGAGACACGGUCCAGACUCCUACGGGAGGCAGCAGUGGGGAAUAUUGGACAAUGGGCGAAAGCCUGAUCCAGCCAUGCCGCGUGUGUGAAGAAGGUCUUCGGAUUGUAAAGCACUUUAAGUUGGGAGGAAGGKUUGUAGAUUAAUACUCUGCAAUUUUGACGUUACCGACAGAAUAAGCACCGGCUAACUCUGUGCCAGCAGCCGCGGUAAUACAGAGGGUGCAAGCGUUAAUCGGAAUUACUGGGCGUAAAGCGCGCGUAGGUGGUUUGUUAAGUUGGAUGUGAAAUCCCCGGGCUCAACCUGGGAACUGCAUUCAAAACUGACUGACUAGAGUAUGGUAGAGGGUGGUGGAAUUUCCUGUGUAGCGGUGAAAUGCGUAGAUAUAGGAAGGAACACCAGUGGCGAAGGCGACCACCUGGACUAAUACUGACACUGAGGUGCGA